This is a non-coding RNA of Tauraco erythrolophus (red-crested turaco), 941 nucleotides long. The record is from RefSeq and is a predicted model, not a curated record. Lineage: Eukaryota; Metazoa; Chordata; Aves; Musophagiformes; Musophagidae.
GAUCUUUGUUUUUGAAACAGCAAAGCUUUUGGGAGUAUAUUUAGCACAUAUGACAAAUGUUGCACUUGGAAACUCAGACAACAAAACUAGUUUCUGAUGACAAAUUUGUUGUCGCAGUAGGGGACAAUCGUCUGUGUCUCUUACAAUCAGGUCUUUACCUUAACUCUGCAACUGAAUACUUGAAGUAGGAAAUAAACUAGGGGGAAAUAGGGUCACAGAUACAAAGCUGUAUAGUUAGAUAUUUAUAUGUGUGUGCCAAUUUUGUCACAGAUAUUAUUUUAAGGGCAUUUUUGCUCUACUCAUGUUGUUGAGAGUUUUUUUCCCCCUGUAAGUGUAAAGGAGCAAACCAACUUUUGGUUAACAUUUAAGAUAAUGAUUAUUAUUUUAAUGUGAGAUCACUCUUGUACUGCACAUUCUUUCUUUCAUUUAAAUGUACAGUAUGAAUUUUGUAUUUAAUGAAUUUUGUGUAUUCAGUAUGCACGUACCUGAACAUUGACUUUCAUUUGAAAGUGGGUUUCAAUUUACUUUUUAAACAGUGUUUAUGAAAAGACCUCAGAUGUGUUGACACAAACUAUAUCUGCAAUGUUUUUUUUGUGUGUGUAGGGUGACGUUUGAAUGUGAUGUUCUGCAGCAAUGGGUCAGUAUUCCCUAUUUACCUUAGAUCCUCAUUUGAUAGUGCUUCUUGUAAUAAUUUUUUCAAGUGAGUGGCAUGUUCUGGAUUGUGAUAUUGAUAUAUGGUUAAGGACAUUGAUAUGAAACUAAGGAAUUCCUAGAAAAUACCAGUGGGCAUGUAUUAGACAGUCAUUGUAAUUUAAUGUCUAGUAGAAGUGUAAAGUACCAAGGUAUUUAGAGUUCAUAACAUCGUUAUCAUGUGUAUGGGAAGUAUUUAGUGUUGAUCAGCUUGUUUAUAUUCAUCAAAUAAACUUUGUUUCUUUCUGAAA